Octopus sinensis (East Asian common octopus) is the source of this 169-nucleotide long non-coding RNA. RefSeq lists it as uncharacterized. The record is from RefSeq and is a predicted model, not a curated record. The transcript is spliced from 3 exons. Lineage: Eukaryota; Metazoa; Mollusca; Cephalopoda; Octopoda; Octopodidae.
UUCACAAACUUAUUGCAACAGUCCAUUAGUUUUUAUAAGCCCUGUAAAAGAACUCAGAAGGUUGGGCCUUCAACCAGGCCUCUAUAGCAGCAAUCACUUCCGAAUUGGAGUGAAAUUUCAUUCCCUUGAGAUGUUUCUUCAGUUGUAGAAAGAGAUUAUAGUUGUAAAG